Molecule: ribosomal RNA, 1469 nt
Filed under: uncultured organism
Description: SSU rRNA
Rfam family: Bacterial small subunit ribosomal RNA
Source: RNAcentral
GUCGGCGUGCCUAAUACAUGCAAGUCGAACGCUUCUUUCCUCCCGAGUGCUUGCACUCAAUUGGAAAGAGGAGUGGCGGACGGGUGAGUAACACGUGGGUAACCUACCCAUCAGAGGGGGAUAACACUUGGAAACAGGUGCUAAUACCGCAUAACAGUUUAUGCCGCAUGGCAUAAGAGUGAAAGGCGCUUUCGGGUGUCGUUGAUGGAUGGACCCGCGGUGCAUUAGCUAGUUGGUGAGGUAACGGCUCACCAAGGCCACGAUGCAUAGCCGACCUGAGAGGGUGAUCGGCCACACUGGGACUGAGACACGGCCCAGACUCCUACGGGAGGCAGCAGUAGGGAAUCUUCGGCAAUGGACGAAAGUCUGACCGAGCAACGCCGCGUGAGUGAAGAAGGUUUUCGGAUCGUAAAACUCUGUUGUUAGAGAAGAACAAGGACGUUAGUAACUGAACGUCCCCUGACGGUAUCUAACCAGAAAGCCACGGCUAACUACGUGCCAGCAGCCGCGGUAAUACGUAGGUGGCAAGCGUUGUCCGGAUUUAUUGGGCGUAAAGCGAGCGCAGGCGGUUUCUUAAGUCUGAUGUGAAAGCCCCCGGCUCAACCGGGGAGGGUCAUUGGAAACUGGGAGACUUGAGUGCAGAAGAGGAGAGUGGAAUUCCAUGUGUAGCGGUGAAAUGCGUAGAUAUAUGGAGGAACACCAGUGGCGAAGGCGGCUCUCUGGUCUGUAACUGACGCUGAGGCUCGAAAGCGUGGGGAGCAAACAGGAUUAGAUACCCUGGUAGUCCACGCCGUAAACGAUGAGUGCUAAGUGUUGGAGGGUUUCCGCCCUUCAGUGCUGCAGCAAACGCAUUAAGCACUCCGCCUGGGGAGUACGACCGCAAGGUUGAAACUCAAAGGAAUUGACGGGGGCCCGCACAAGCGGUGGAGCAUGUGGUUUAAUUCAAAGCAACGCGAAGAACCUUACCAGGUCUUGACAUCCUUUGACCACUCUAGAGAUAGAGCUUUCCCUUCGGGGACAAAGUGACAGGUGGUGCAUGGUUGUCGUCAGCUCGUGUCGUGAGAUGUUGGGUUAAGUCCCGCAACGAGCGCAACCCUUAUUGUUAGUUGCCAUCAUUUAGUUGGGCACUCUAGCGAGACUGCCGGUGACAAACCGGAGGAAGGUGGGGAUGACGUCAAAUCAUCAUGCCCCUUAUGACCUGGGCUACACACGUGCUACAAUGGGAAGUACAACGAGUCGCUAGACCGCGAGGUCAUGCAAAUCUCUUAAAGCUUCUCUCAGUUCGGAUUGCAGGCUGCAACUCGCCUGCAUGAAGCCGGAAUCGCUAGUAAUCGCGGAUCAGCACGCCGCGGUGAAUACGUUCCCGGGCCUUGUACACACCGCCCGUCACACCACGAGAGUUUGUAACACCCGAAGUCGGUGAGGUAACCUUUUUGGAGCCAGCCGCCUAAGGUGGGAUAGAUGAUUGG